RNAcentral lists this ribosomal RNA (92 nucleotides) under Sinocyclocheilus rhinocerous. The record is from RNAcentral. Lineage: Eukaryota; Metazoa; Chordata; Actinopteri; Cypriniformes; Cyprinidae.
ACCGGCAGCCAUAUCACCCUGUAGCCCAAGACUGGUUACCCACUGAAGCUAAGCAGGGCAGACCUCCUGGGAAAACUAGGUUGCUGCUGGAA